UACGUAGGGUGCGAGCGUUAAUCGGAAUUACUGGGCGUAAAGCGUGCGCAGGCGGUCUGUUAAGACCGAUGUGAAAUCCCCGGGCUUAACCUGGGAACUGCAUUGGUGACUGGCAGGCUUUGAGUGUGGCAGAGGGAGGUAGAAUUCCACGUGUAGCAGUGAAAUGCGUAAAGAUGUGGAGGAAUACCGAUGGCGAAGGCAGCCUCCUGGGCCAACACUGACGCUCAUGCACGAAAGCGUGGGGAGCAAACAGGA
This 255-nucleotide ribosomal RNA is filed under the name uncultured bacterium. Its description in RNAcentral is "partial 16S ribosomal RNA". It matches the Rfam family "Bacterial small subunit ribosomal RNA", at positions 524 to 777 of the family's 1533-position model. The record is from RNAcentral.